AUGGAUCUCAUGAGCUGGAACUGCCAGGGAGGGGUGAAUUCCUGGACAGUUCACGAGCUAGCGAUGCUAGUGCAGUCGCAUUCCCCUAGGAUGGUGUUUUUGUGUGAGACAAGAUAGAAGGAAGACAAAAUGAGGAGAUUGAGAGGCCUUCUAGGCCUGAAAGACUUUACUAGUGUGGACAGCAAUGGCCUAAGUGGGGGCCUCACUCUUUUU
Molecule: ribosomal RNA, 213 nt
Filed under: Triticum aestivum (bread wheat)
Lineage: Eukaryota; Viridiplantae; Streptophyta; Magnoliopsida; Poales; Poaceae
Description: partial small subunit ribosomal RNA
Source: RNAcentral